This 460-nucleotide ribosomal RNA is filed under the name uncultured bacterium. Its description in RNAcentral is "partial 16S ribosomal RNA". It matches the Rfam family "Bacterial small subunit ribosomal RNA", at positions 338 to 795 of the family's 1533-position model. The record is from RNAcentral.
CCUACGGGGGGCAGCAGUGAGGAAUAUUGGUCAAUGGACGAGAGUCUGAACCAGUCAAGUAGCGUGAAGGAUGACUGCCCUAUGGGUUGUAAACUUCUUUUAUAUGGGAAUAAAAUGUUCCACGUGUGGGAUUUUGUAUGUACCAUAUGAAUAAGGAUCGGCUAACUCCGUGCCAGCAGCCGCGGUAAUACGGAGGAUCCGAGCGUUAUCCGGAUUUAUUGGGUUUAAAGGGAGCGUAGGUGGAUUGUUAAGUCAGUUGUGAAAGUUUGCGGCUCAACCGUAAAAUUGCAGUUGAAACUGGCAGUCUUGAGUACAGUAGAGGUGAGCGGAAUUCGUGGUGUAGCGGUGAAAUGCUUAGAUAUCACGAAGAACUCCGAUUGCGAAGGCAGUUCACUGGACUGCAACUGACACUGAGGCUCGAAAGUGUGGGUAUCAAACAGGAUUAGAUACCCGGGUAGUC